UCGGACGGCCAUAGGGGUGUGGUUCACCUGGUCUCAUUUCGAACCCAGAAGUUAAGCACAUCUCCGUUUUUGGUUGUACUGUACUUCUGUACGGGAACCCAAGAAAGCUGUCCGCU
Molecule: ribosomal RNA, 116 nt
Filed under: Candidatus Woesearchaeota archaeon
Lineage: Archaea; Nanobdellati; Candidatus Woesearchaeota
Source: RNAcentral